UGCACACAUGCAGUGUUGAUAGGCUUAUAUCAGGUUGCUCACAGUUGGACAAGCUGUUUUUGGGAUUAGGAUUUCUGGAUUGGAAGAGGCCUAAGAGAUCACCACAUUUACAAAUGAGGACAACAAAGUUUGGCAAUGUAUAGUGCUCCAUGGCUGCAUAUCUAUGGGUAAUUUGGUUUCGCUGUGUUCAGGGAGGCUGGCUUAAGAGUAUGCACUUGACAUCUUGCCAGGACGCUGAAUUUUGAAGUGUAUUAGAAGGUAUCUCCAAGGGGAAGUCAACUUUCAAGACUAAAAGUGGCCUGCACUGAGUCCACCAAGUCUCAGCCUUUCGAUUUCCAGGCUCUUCACAUCUCUUAAUGAGGAGUUGCACACCACAACCCAGCUUGGGUGGGCCCCAGAGACGUUUUCCCUGGAGAAGAAAUUGGAGAGAGUUUCAUGCUGACUCUGCAACAGGAUGAGAGAAGGAAUUAGCAUUUAUUGAGCUCCCGCUGUGUGCUCUUCUGCGCCAGAUGCUUUUGCUGAACACCGCAAAAUCUCUGGAAGGUAAAUGAAGAAUUGAAAGCUCUGGAUAAAGAAGCCAAGGGUGGAGCUGGAUUCUGGGGCCAAGUCUGUUCACUCCAAGCUCAAGUUCUUCCUGUGUAUAUCCACUGCAGAAAGAACAGACUUCUUAGUGGCUUAGCUGCCUGUGUGAUAUCUCUUGGGAGAUACAGUGGAAGUGCAAUGGGACAGGACAGGAAACAUUCUUACUAUUUCUGUUCUUAGGUAGGCAUAAUCAACUGAUGUUCACAAACUCAAAUGCCUUUGGUGGCUUGGUGAGAUGUGUAAAUGUGAGUGAAGUAUGGUGAAUAGGGAGUUGGGGGGACAGAUCUAUAAUGGAACCAGGGCACAGACGUCCCAUCAGAAGACAUCAGCAUUCACAUUUUAAAACACAUUGUUGGCCAAACCAAACAUUUCUGUGAACCAGGGCCAAGGACUGCCAUUUCAGGACUGCUAAUUCAGAUGCCCCUUUAAGUGUCAAAGGCAUUGUGUAAUGUUGGAUUUCUUCAUUUUUUUUAAAGGAGAAUAAAUUUGUUACCUACACAAAU
Molecule: long non-coding RNA, 1085 nt
Organism: Nyctereutes procyonoides (raccoon dog)
Lineage: Eukaryota; Metazoa; Chordata; Mammalia; Carnivora; Canidae
Exons: 3
Source: RefSeq, a predicted model, not a curated record